UCCAGUCAUUGCUUCUGCUAUUAAUACCCAACACAUAACACCUACUACUACGCGGUUUCUGCUGUAAUGACAAAACUAUUCUUGGGGCUCGUGCGGGGCGGCGGGUUAAGGUGACACGAGCGAGGGGAGGAGGCGGCGGCGGAGGAUGAGGAGGAGGACAGAUACCUUCCUAAUAGCCCUCCAUUGUGCAAUAAAAGAUCCCCAAUGGCGCUGAUACAGGUCCUUCAGUGUGCCUGGGAGGGAGUGCAACGCAGUCAAGUGAAGGUCUGCCCUCAGCCCUGUUACUACCAAGCUUGCAAUAUAUGUUAAGCUUGUUCUGUCUAUGCCUAUGUCUAAGCUUGCCCUCAGCCCUGUUACUACCAAGCUUGCAAUAUAUGUUAAGCUUGUUCUAUCUAUGCCUAUUUCUAAGCUUGCUCUCAGCCCUGUUACUACCAAGCUUGCAAUAUAUGUUUUCCUUAAGCUUGUUCUGUCUAUGCCUAUUUCUAAGCUUGACCUGUCUAUGUCUUACUACCAAGCUUGCCAUACAUAUUUCCGUUAAGCUUGUUCUAUCUAUGCCUAUUUCUAAGCUUGACCUGCCUAUGUCUUACUACCAAGCUUGCCAUACAUAUUUCCAUUAAGCUUGUUCUAUCUAUGCCUAUUUCUAAGCUUGACCUGCCUAUGUCUAUUUCUACUAAGCUUGUCCUACCUAUGUCUACUACUAACCUUGCCUUGCCUGUUAUUCUGUUUAGCUUGCCCUGCCUAUGUCAAGUUCUAUUAAGCUUGCCCUACAUAUGUAAAGUUCUGUUAAGCUUGCCCUACUUAUGUGUUUCUAUCAAGCUUGCCCUUUCUGUUAUUCCAUUAAGCUUACUACUCUGCCUACGUCUUUCUAUUAAGCUUAUCCUGCCUCUGUCUAUUUAUAUUAAGCUUGCCCUGUCCUAAGCCCUAUUUCUGUUGAGUUUGUCCUGUUUGUGAAUAUCUAUUAAGCUUGUACUGUCCUAAGCCCUAUUUCUUCGAGCUUGUCCUGUUUGUGUAUAUCGAUUAAGCUUGCCCUGCCUAUGUGUACUUCUACUAAGCUUGCCCUCUGUGUAUUUCUAUUAAGCUUGCCCUGCCUAUGUGUACUUUUACUAAGGUUGCCCUCUGUGUAUUUCUAUUAAGCUUGCCCUGCCUAUGUCUUUCAAUUAAGCUUGUCCUACCUGUCUGUUUCCACAAAGCUUGUCUAUUUCUGUUAAGCUUGUCCUGAGGUGCCGUGGCGAAGGAAAGGCGCUAAGGAGAAAGGAGGGAGAGAAGGAUGAUGAUAAGGAGGAGGAGGAGGAGGAGGAGGAGGAGGAGGAGGUUGUUUUCGUGGUGAUGUAGCGACGACGAAGAAGGAAAAAAAAAAUGGAUGGACUGAAUGGGCAAUGGAAGGAAGGAGAAAACAAUAAAAUGCAAAGGAUAUUCUCUCUCUCUCUCUCUCUCUCUCUCUCUCUCUCUCUCUCUCUCUCUCUCUCUCUCUCUCUCUCUCUCUCUCUCUCUCUCUCACUCUCUCACACACACACACGCACUAUCUAUAAUUAUACCACGUGCCCUGCGUCAAAAUGCGGCGAAAUAACUAACUAAACAGAGUAAAAAUAAAUAAGAGAAACAAAACCAAACUAAACUGAUGGGACGAUGGAGUUACGAGGCAAGGAAGACGCUGCAGAAAUAGGUGACGGACGUGACGGAGAUAGCGGAGGAGACGAAAGCCGAAGAACGUUAGAGCGAAGAUAACAGGGAAGGAAAAGGAGAAGAAAAAAAAAGGAAGGUAAGGAAACAUGCAAAGGGUAUGGUUAAAGGUGUGACACGUAGACAUAGUGAACGUGUCCUAUACUUGUUGUUGUUGUUAAAAAUAUAGAUAGGUAGAUAGAUAGAUAGUGACGGAGACAAACGGCGAAGAUAAUAGGGAAGAAAAAGGAGAAAAAGGGAAGGUAAGGAAACAUAUGCAAAGGGUAUGGUUAGAGGUGUGACGCGUAGACAUAGUGAACGUGUCCUAUGCUUGUUGUAGAUGUUUUUGAUAGAUAAAUACAUAGAUAUAGAUAGAUAGUGUUUAAUUCGGGUUCAGAGAUGACCCGAUUGUGUUAGGUUCGUGGAAGGAAGGAAGGAAGGAAGUCUAAGUUUGCGGUGUCCAUGUAAGGUGUGUGUGCGUGUGUGUGUGUGUGUGUGUGUGUGUGUGUGUGUGUGGAGGGGGGCAGGGAGGCGGAUGGAACACACUGACGCGGAAUGGCAGGGCAAGAAACGCCAUUCCUAUAAAGGGAUUUGUGAUUCAUAAGUGGAGCUCGACGGGACAUGAAAAAAUGACAGGCUUUACACCUCUCUCUCUCUCUCUCUCUCUCUCUCUCUCUCAGCACACCAUUCACCUGAUCAUUUUCUCUCCUUCACCUCACAGUCAUCAGCCGCUCACCGUCCGCCGCCUCGUUACUCUCCCAAGUACCUGUUAUCUCUCUUGUCAAGUUUUCUGCUCUCCUGUACAGCACGCCUCCUCUCGUGCGACCUUCGGCGCGUACUCUGAGACGCUUUCGGCUCUCAACAACUACUUCCAAAGGCCACAAAGGAGAUAAGUCGGGUUAUCAUGAGUGUUUUUCACGUUCAUGGUGCAGAAGCCUUGUCAAGCGAUCACUAGGCUCAUGAAACAAUCCCUGGAAAUACUAACACUACCUCAACGAAAGCCGUAUCAAAUGUGGAUGUGUACGAUCCGAAAUGUUUGAGAUGUGCCCUGCUGUAUGAGGCUCAACGUUGCCAGAUUGUCGUACUAUGCCUCUUAUGUUUGCCGAUUUCCGAUCCAAAAACUGUUCAUUUAUAUUUAUCGUUAAAAUAGUUAAUUCUUGAUGUUUCUUGGCAAUAGUUAGGCGUCAGAAACCAGUAAAUACUAUGCUUCGAGUACGAUAAUCUGGCAAUGUUGAUAAGGCUUACUCACUCUCGAGCUAUCUUCAUUCCUUUAUACCUUUCACUGGCAAGCUCGCGGGGACAGCCUUUUUAUUCUGUCCUUACAACAUUCCCACGCCUAGAGCCCGCGCCGAGGAAGCACCACGACGCCCAAGGAACUGAAAUAGCUUGGGAUGUAUUUCGGGACUUCCUCGUCACUGUCUUCUUUGCAGGAACACGUGUGAGGUGUUGCUUUAUGGCCUGCUCUAUCCCUCGGUCGGGCUUCUUUCACACACACACACACACACCGCGCUCCACCAGCAAACGUUACUCUGGCCAGUCACCUCAAUCGGGUGAAUAACCAUAAACAUGUAACGGGCACAGUUAUUUCCCAGCCACGUGAAUCAGGUGGUGGUGGUGGUGGUGGUGGUGACGGCCGCACUCCUCGACUUUUUUUACCUCCUCGCCUCCAGCCUCGGCGCCGGCCUCUCCUUGACCAAGUUUGCAUGACAUCGCGCUGCAGGGGACCCUUCAACGCCGCCCCCUCCUUCGCCCAAACAAGACAGCUGGAGCCAUUACUGCCGGCCCGUGCUAUCGGCAGGCUGUCGCGGCGCGUCACGUGGCAGCAGACACCUGGCCGCCCCCGCCCCGGCCUGUCGCCACCUGCCGCCCUCCGUCAGGUGCGGCGCAGGUAUCCUGGGGCCGUGGAGGCACGUCCCACGCCCGAUCAAUACUGUCCUCUGUCACGCACUCAAGACAGCUUUCCUCCUUGCCUGGAAAGUGUGACACGAGGUGCGUCACAACACUUUUACCUCGAGACUAAAACUCCAUUUUUCUUCUUUAUAUUUAUCACACACGCAGAAUCAUAUAUGCACACAUACACACACACAAAAUAGUGAUUAGGUUGGCGAGCUCUGCUCGCAACCUGGAAGACCCGGGUUCGAUUCCCGGUCGGAGUAGAGACGGGUGGGCAGUCGCCUUUAAUCUGUGGGUCCUGUCCAUCCAGCAGUGACUGGGUGCCGGGUGUCAGUCGGGGUUCGAGCCCCGCCUCCCGGGUGUGUGGGCGUGACGGGAGGCUCCCUCCGUGUUCCAUCUGAGUGACACUUCUCGCCACAUCGUCAAGGAGCCCGUCAGGAAGCUCGGGUCCUCAGGGUCGGCCAUUACGGCGGUGUGCCUCGCAUAACGCACGGGACGUUCCCGGGAGCCAAGCCCUGAGGCGCGGCGAGGGCCGCGGUGGAGCACACGGCCGAGCACGGCCUGGCGUGGCUCUCCUGGCUGGCCGUCGCCCGCUACUCAUCCUCUGCAGCUCGGCUACUCCUGAGGGCUAGGCGGACACGCUAGAGGGGGCAGAGUAGCCGCCUGUCCCAAGGUCGCGUCAAUAUUUCAUCUGGUGGGGCGCGGCGGCUUCCUCCCCUCCGUGCCUGGUCACAGGAGCCACGCCCCCAACGUCCCCACACACGAUGAAGUCACUCUCUUCCCCCCACCCCCCCUGUUCAGGCAUUUUGUCACUCACUUUUUCUCCAUUUCUCUUUCUCUUACUUCCAACUAACUAUCUUCGCUUUCCUUUCGCCCCUCAAUUCCUUUCACUUUCCUUCCUUCCCUUUCAGUCAUUUUGCCACUUCUUUUUUCUUCCUCCAUUUCUCUUUCUCUCAUUUCCCACUGUCUAACUAUCUUCUCGUUCUGUCCAUCCCUCUCUUCUGUUCCCUCUUCUUGUCACUCUUUAGUUCAGUCAUUUUAUCCUUCUAUUUUUUGUUUCCCUUCUCCAUUCUUCUGUCCCUCUCUUCUUUUCUUUCCCUGUCCCUCCUGCUCCAUCUUUCUUUCCCUUCCUUUGUCUUUUUCACUCCCCAAUCUCUCACUCCCCACUAUUCCGACAACCCGUUCCCUUCGCCCCUCUGCUCUCUCCUCCCGCCCCGACUCCAGCACCGGCCCGCCAAGGACCUUCUUCAGCCACACA
Molecule: long non-coding RNA, 4810 nt
Organism: Eriocheir sinensis (Chinese mitten crab)
Lineage: Eukaryota; Metazoa; Arthropoda; Malacostraca; Decapoda; Varunidae
Exons: 3
Source: RefSeq, a predicted model, not a curated record